This 63-nucleotide transfer RNA is filed under the name Achalinus rufescens (Boulenger's odd-scaled snake). RNAcentral describes it as "tRNA-Glu". Lineage: Eukaryota; Metazoa; Chordata; Lepidosauria; Squamata; Xenodermidae. The record is from RNAcentral.
GUUUUUGUAGUUGAUGUAACAACGGCGGUUUUUCGGGCUGCAGGACUCAGAGGAGCAAAAAUU